CGGCAUGUGGAAGCACACAGUCUGUGCUGUGAAUAUGAAGCAGUCGGCAAGGACAACCCGGUGGUGCUGUGUGGUUGGAAAGGCUGUACCUGCACCUUCAAGGACCGCAGUAAACUUCGGGAGCACCUCCGCAGCCAUACCCAGGAGAAAGUGGUAGCCUGCCCCACCUGUGGGGGCAUGUUUGCCAACAAUACCAAGUUCUUAGAUCACAUCCGUCGCCAGACCUCAUUGGAUCAUGAGGAAACUGAGUCUCAGAGAGGUUAAAUCACUUACCUGAGAUCACACAGCUAAGCAGCACUUCCAGUGUUCUCACUGUUCCAAGAGAUUUGCCACAGAGCGGCUGUUGCGGGACCACAUGCGCAACCAUGUGAAUCACUAUAAGUGCCCUCUGUGUGACAUGACCUGCCCGCUGCCUUCCUCCCUCCGCAACCACAUGCGCUUUCGUCACAGUGAGGACCGGCCCUUUAAAUGUGACUGUUGUGACUACAGCUGCAAGAAUCUUAUUGACCUCCAGAAGCACCUGGAUACCCACAGCGAGGAGCCAGCCUACAGGUGUGAUUUUGAGAACUGCACCUUCAGUGCCCGAUCCCUCUGCUCUAUCAAGUCACAUUACCGCAAAGUACACGAAGGAGACUCUGAGCCAAGGUACAAAUGUCAUGUGUGUGACAAAUGCUUCACACGGGGCAACAACCUCACCGUGCACCUUCGCAAGAAGCACCAGUUCAAGUGGCCCUCAGGGCAUCCCCGUUUUCGGUACAAGGAACAUGAAGAUGGCUAUAUGCGGCUGCAGCUGGUUCGCUACGAGAGUGUAGAGCUGACACAGCAACUGCUGCGGCAACCACAAGAGGGAUCGGGCCUGGGAACGUCGCUGAACGAGAGCAGCCUGCAGGGCAUUAUUCUAGAAACAGUGCCAGGGGAGCCAGGACGUAAGGAAGAGGAAGAGGAGGGCAAGGGUGGCGAAGG
RNAcentral lists this small RNA (963 nucleotides) under Pongo abelii (Sumatran orangutan). RNAcentral's name for it is "retained intron". Lineage: Eukaryota; Metazoa; Chordata; Mammalia; Primates; Hominidae. The record is from RNAcentral.